UACGGAGGGCGCAAGCGUUGUUCGGAAUCAUUGGGCGUAAAGCGCGUGUAGGCGGUCUGGUCAGUCGGGUGUGAAAGCCCGGAGCUCAACUCCGGAACUGCACUCGAUACUGCCAGGCUAGAGUCCCGGAGAGGGUGGUGGAAUUCCCGGUGUAGAGGUGAAAUUCGUAGAUAUCGGGAGGAACACCAGUGGCGAAGGCGGCCACCUGGACGGUGACUGACGAUGAGACGCGAAAGCGUGGGGAGCAAACAGG
Molecule: ribosomal RNA, 253 nt
Filed under: uncultured bacterium
Lineage: Bacteria
Description: partial 16S ribosomal RNA
Rfam family: Bacterial small subunit ribosomal RNA
Source: RNAcentral